Long non-coding RNA from Callithrix jacchus (white-tufted-ear marmoset), 2569 nucleotides. The record is from Ensembl. Lineage: Eukaryota; Metazoa; Chordata; Mammalia; Primates; Cebidae.
GUAAAUAUAAAAUAAAUUGCAAGUAAUAAGUCAUUGGCAAAAAAAAAAUCCCAUAAAGCAAGAAAUGCAUAUUAAAAUGAUGUAUAACAUAACCACAUUUUUAAAAACAUAUUUCAAUGUCAAAUGGGAAAUUUCAGCAGUGCAAAAAAUCACAAUUCAUUUGCACCAACCUAAUAUACAUAUAUAUAUAUAUACACACACACACAUUCUAAUUUAUAUCAGGAUAUAAAUAUCCACACAUUUCAGUUGGUUGAUACAGCUCUCAAGUCUUCCAGGUUUGCCCCCAUCUCCACCAUCGCUCCUGGCAAUUUAAGGAACCAGAUCGUUUAUGCUCCCAAGGUUCUCAUAGUCUGGAUUUUGAUGACUACACUCCGAUGUUCACUGACUUCAUCUGUUCUCUGUAUUUUCUGUAAACUGCUGAAUCUGAAAGCUUGAUCAGUUUCAAAUUUCAUGGUUUUUGCAAGGCUACAUCACAGGUGGCAUUGUGUCCUGCUAUCACUGGGCACAUAACUCCUGGUGGCCUCCUUUAUGACAUUUGCAGCCUCCAGCGCUCAGUGCCUAGAUCCACUAGGAUUUGAGAAAUUGUGAUAAUCCUCUUCUAUCAUUUGUCCUUCACAUAUUAACUGGAAUCAUUUUAUACAGGGAAACUUGAUCUCAUCAACUACUUGGUACUUGAUUUACAGUCAUGGAGGAAAGACAGAAAAAUUGCUUCUUUUUCUUUAUCAUUUUCAAGUGAUAAAUUGAUUCACUAGCACCUAUCACCAUGUAGUCAAUUUAGUUUUUUGUUUUGUGCCAUUGUAAACUACAGGAUUUAAACAUAUUGCAUAUCUCCUUCCACUGAUGUUUCUUACUGUUUCUCAAAUCAUGCCAUCUUUGGCCAGUGGGAGCCACUACAAAUGGGUCCUAUGUCUUUUAGACAUCACCCCGGUAAUUGGAUUACUUCCUUGUUCUCUUGUUUGAAAUAUGCUCAAGACUCAUCUUAAACAUGUCCAAAAAUUUCUUUCCUUUUAGGAAGGAAGGAUAUUUGCAAACUGCAAUCUGGGAACUAAGGAUGUGCACACUGCCACUGGAGGUGAGUGCUUCAAUGCUUUCAGAGGAUAGCGCUAGGAAGUAACUGUGAAAACAAAACACAUUACAAACAUACACUGAUGGUUUCAUUUCAAAUGCUAAGCUUAAGGGUUUUUACUUGAGCUUCUUAACAUAUAUAAUUAUCUAUUUCCUUACAUACUGAAAAUCUAGCUAUUCAAUGACACUGGAAAAUAUGGUACUGGAAUAUCAUAUAAUUACUUGUUUCAUCAUAUAAGAUGCAGACAACAGUCUUAGAGUAAUAACAACAUACCACAGAUAUAUACGAUUCAUUUUCUGGAUAUCAAGCCAUAGUAAUUCAUCAUGUAGGCGAUCCUAUUUGUUUUAUCUCUCUUUCUCUUAUAUUUUCUGUUAUUUAGCAAAAAUUGAAUUUUGUUCUGCCGGUUACCUUUAAACUAAUACUCUUAAAAUAAACUUUGUUAUAUAAUCAGUACCCCAAAAUGAGAAAUAUUCUGAAGAUGAGUAACAUGGAAGAACUGUUUCUGGCAAAGGGGAACUUACCUCAAGACACUGUUACUUAUUCGAGGAGCCUUCAUUUAAACCCAAGUUUGCCUGACUUCAGACUUCCUUUUUUUUUUUUUUAAUGAUAAUGCAAGGUCACCUGGAGAGAAAAUGCUUCAUAUGUUUUAGUCUUGGAAGUAUUUUCAAAGGACAAAUAUUUUUAGGAUAUUUUAAGAUUCAUAUUCUUUACCAUCCAAACCACAAGACUUUUAAGAGUAAAAGUGCAUUCUAAAAGUGUGUGUGUGUGUGUAUAUAUAUAUAUAUAUCCAUGUUUGGAUAAACUCACAUAUGUGUGUGUGUAUAUAUAUAUAUAUAUAUAUAUUACAUAUAUGUAUGCACACAUCUAAAUAUAUAUAUGAAAAAAGAAACAUAUUGGUAGACCUAUGAAAGGGUUCUAUACCAAAACUAUUUUCUAAAAAUUUUUUCUAACAAUUUUAAAUAGCAUACAUUCAUACAUUUCAAGAGAAAUAUUACAAACAUUUUAUCUAAACAUUAAAAUAACACUAGCAGAAUAUCUCAGUGCAUAUUCACAACUUUAAUGCAACACAUAGCCAUAUCUAAUUUUAAUACAGUACCACUGAUAUUUUCUGACAAGUCUGUUUUUAGCAGUCACUUUUUUUUUUUUUUUUAUAAAAGUGACUGAACCCUUUCCUAAGUAUAUAUUCUGUGGAUAAUAAAUUUGCAAUUGUUAGUACCUAAUGAUUAACCUAAAGACCAUAGUAAUUGAGAAAACUUUCUUGCUAUAGGGAAAUGUACUCUUGUAAGCUAAGAGUAGAUUCUACUAAAUGAAGAAUAUUCUUCAUUAUGUUUUAUAUGAAAAUAUGCAAAAACAUAGGCAUAUAUGUUUUUACCAGUACAGUGAUUUUGCCUUUAUGCAGAGUGCUUUUAUAAAAUACAUAUUUUAUAAGAAAAAAUAUGUCAAGUAAAUUGUUUAUAUUUUAAUUCUGUUUGAGUAUUUUGCUAAAUAUAGAAGCUGUAAAAU